RNAcentral lists this ribosomal RNA (223 nucleotides) under uncultured bacterium. Its description in RNAcentral is "partial 16S ribosomal RNA". It matches the Rfam family "Bacterial small subunit ribosomal RNA", at positions 15 to 215 of the family's 1533-position model. The record is from RNAcentral.
GAUCCUGGCUCAGGAUGAACGCUGGCGGCGUGCUUAACACAUGCAAGUCGAGCGAAGCAAUCUAAGUGAAGUUUUCGGAUGGAUCUUGGAUUGACUGAGCGGGCGGACGGGUGAAGGUAACGCGUGGAUAACCUGCCUCACACAGAGGGAUAACAGUUAGAAAUGACUGCUAAUACCGCAUAAGCGCACAGUACCGCAUGGUACAGUGUGAAAAAACUCCGGU